Molecule: ribosomal RNA, 497 nt
Filed under: uncultured bacterium
Lineage: Bacteria
Description: partial 16S ribosomal RNA
Rfam family: Bacterial small subunit ribosomal RNA
Source: RNAcentral
GAUGAACGCUGGCGGCGUGCCUAAUACAUGCAAGUCGAGCGAACAGACGAGGAGCUUGCUCCUCUGACGUUAGCGGCGGACGGGUGAGUAACACGUGGAUAACCUACCUAUAAGACUGGGAUAACUUCGGGAAACCGGAGCUAAUACCGGAUAAUAUAUUGAACCGCAUGGUUCAAUAGUGAAAGACGGUUUUGCUGUCACUUAUAGAUGGAUCCGCGCCGCAUUAGCUAGUUGGUAAGGUAACGGCUUACCAAGGCAACGAUGCGUAGCCGACCUGAGAGGGAGAGCAGCAAAAGUGGAAAGGAGACACGGUGCGGACACCUGCGGGAGGGAGCAGUGGGGAAUAUUGGACAAUGGGCGCAAGACUGAAACAGCAAUACUGCGGGGGAGAAGAAGGUCUUCGGGUUGUAAAGCCCUUUUGUGGGGAAAGAAAAGAAGCAGGUUAAUACCCCGCUGUGCUGACGGUACCCAAAGAAUAAGCAACGGCUAACUUCGUG